Molecule: ribosomal RNA, 301 nt
Filed under: uncultured bacterium
Lineage: Bacteria
Description: partial 16S ribosomal RNA
Rfam family: Bacterial small subunit ribosomal RNA
Source: RNAcentral
CAGUAGCCGCGGUAAUACGGAGGGGGCUAGCGUUGUUCGGAAUUACUGGGCGUAAAGCGCACGUAGGCGGCUUUGUAAGUUAGAGGUGAAAGCCCGGAGCUCAACUCCGGAAUUGCCUUUAAGACUGCAGAGCUAGCAGGUGAGAGAGGUGAGCGGAAUUCCGAGUGUAGAGGUGAAAUUCGUGGAUAUUCGGAAGAACACCAGUGGCGAAGGCGGCUCACUGGCUCAUACUGGAUGCUGAGGUGCGAAAGCGUGGGGAGCAAGCAGGAUUAGAUACCCCUGUAGUCCCUGUCUCUUAUCA